GCAGUAGCUCAGUGGUAGAGCCCCGCUUCAAGUGCGGGGAGACCUGGGUUCGAUUCCCGGCUGC
This 64-nucleotide transfer RNA is filed under the name Toxocara canis (dog roundworm). It matches the Rfam family "tRNA". Rfam says of the family: Transfer RNA (tRNA) molecules are approximately 80 nucleotides in length. Their secondary structure includes four short double-helical elements and three loops (D, anti-codon, and T loops). Lineage: Eukaryota; Metazoa; Nematoda; Chromadorea; Rhabditida; Toxocaridae. The record is from Rfam by way of RNAcentral.